AAUGAACGCUGGCGGCGUGCCUAACACAUGCAAGUCGGAUGUGCCGCAAGGUGCAUGGCAGACGGGUGAGUAACGCGUGGGGAAUCUACCUUUUUGUGGGGAAUAACGUUCCGAAAGGAAUGGUAAUACCGCAUGUGAUCAUCGGCUGGGAUGCUGAUGAUGAAAGCCGGGGACCGCAAGGCCUGGCGCAAGAAGAGGAUCCUGCGUCUGAUUAGCUAGUUGGCGGGGUAAUGGCCCACCAAGGCGACGAUCAGUAGCCGGCCUGAGAGGGUGAUCGGCCACACUGGAACUGAGACACGGUCCAGACUCCUACGGGAGGCAGCAGUGGGGAAUUUUGCGCAAUGGACGAAAGUCUGACGCAGCAACGCCGCGUGGGUGAUGAAGGUCUUCGGAUCGUAAAACCCUGUCGUCAGGGACGAAGGUAAUGUGCCUAAUACGCAUGUUGCUUGACGGUACCUGGAGAGGAAG
Molecule: ribosomal RNA, 468 nt
Filed under: uncultured bacterium
Lineage: Bacteria
Description: bacterial SSU rRNA
Rfam family: Bacterial small subunit ribosomal RNA
Source: RNAcentral